RNAcentral lists this ribosomal RNA (458 nucleotides) under Escherichia coli. RNAcentral's name for it is "bacterial SSU rRNA". It matches the Rfam family "Bacterial small subunit ribosomal RNA", at positions 30 to 475 of the family's 1533-position model. Lineage: Bacteria; Pseudomonadati; Pseudomonadota; Gammaproteobacteria; Enterobacterales; Enterobacteriaceae. The record is from RNAcentral.
AUUGAACGCUGGCGGCAGGCCUAACACAUGCAAGUCGAACGGUAACAGGAAGCAGCUUGCUGCUUCGCUGACGAGUGGCGGACGGGUGAGUAAUGUCUGGGAAGCUGCCUGAUGGAGGGGGAUAACUACUGGAAACGGUAGCUAAUACCGCAUAAUGUCGCAAGACCAAAGAGGGGGACCUUCGGGCCUCUUGCCAUCGGAUGUGCCCAGAUGGGAUUAGCUUGUUGGUGGGGUAACGGCUCACCAAGGCGACGAUCCCUAGCUGGUCUGAGAGGAUGACCAGCCACACUGGAACUGAGACACGGUCCAGACUCCUACGGGAGGCAGCAGUGGGGAAUAUUGCACAAUGGGCGCAAGCCUGAUGCAGCCAUGCCGCGUGUAUGAAGAAGGCCUUCGGGUUGUAAAGUACUUUCAGCGGGGAGGAAGGGAGUAAAGUUAAUACCUUUGCUCAUUGACGU